This 397-nucleotide ribosomal RNA is filed under the name uncultured bacterium. RNAcentral's name for it is "partial 16S ribosomal RNA". It matches the Rfam family "Bacterial small subunit ribosomal RNA", at positions 523 to 918 of the family's 1533-position model. The record is from RNAcentral.
AUACGUAGGGGGCAAGCGUUAUCCGGAUUUACUGGGUGUAAAGGGAGCGUAGACGGCAUGGCAAGUCUGAUGUGAAAAUCCGGGGCUCAACCCCGGGAUUGCAUUGGAAACUGUCAAGCUAGAGUGCAGGAGAGGUAAGUGGAAUUCCUAGUGUAGCGGUGAAAUGCGUAGAUAUUAGGAGGAACACCAGUGGCGAAGGCGGCUUACUGAACUGUAACUGACGUUGAGGUCCGAAAGCAUGGGGAGAAAACGGGAUUAAAUACCCUGGUAUACCACGCCGUAACCGAUGAAUACUAGGUGUUGGGAGGAACUAUCCUUUCGGUGCCGCAGCAAACGCAAUACAUAUUCCACCUGGGGAGUUCGUUCGCAAGAAUGAAACUCAAAUGAAUUGACGGGU